GACGAACGCUGGCGGCGUGCUUAACACAUGCAAGUCGAACGGAAAGGCCCUGCUUGCAGGGUGCUCGCGUGGCGAACGGGUGAGUAACACGUGGGUGAUCUGCCCCUUACUUUGGGAUAAGCCUGGGAAACUGGGUCUAAUACUGGAUAGGACCAUGCUGUAGGUGGUGUGGUGGAAAGAUUAGUUUCGGUAAGGGAUGAGCUCGCGGCCUAUCAGCUGGUUGGUGGGGUAAUGGCCUACCAAGGCGUCGCCGGGUAGCCGGCCUGAGAGGGUGGACGGCCACAUUGGGACUGAGGUACGGCCCAGACUCCUACGGGAGGCAGCAGUGGGGAAUAUUGCACAAUGGGGGCAAGACUGAUGCAGCGACGCCGCGUGGGGGAUGACGGCCUUCGGGUUGUAAACUCCUUUCAGCCAUGACGAAGCCCUUGUGGUGACGGUAGUGGUAGAAGAAGCACCGGCUAACUACGUG
Molecule: ribosomal RNA, 469 nt
Filed under: uncultured bacterium
Lineage: Bacteria
Description: partial 16S ribosomal RNA
Rfam family: Bacterial small subunit ribosomal RNA
Source: RNAcentral